GCUUCUCUUCUUUUGCUAAUGACUGGAUCAUCAUGGUUUGAAAUACAGGUAAUGAACCUGUAGAGUGUCUUGGAGGCUCGAACGUGGUCUGCACCGUUCCCUCUGUAUUUCUUCUGAAAGAGGAUUCAGUGAUCUAGACAGGCUGCGAAGUGGCAUGAAAUUUCUCAUAAUUUGUUAACCAAACCUUUUGAAUGACUGCUCUGAUGGGAUAAUACUUCUCUUCUUUUGCUAAUGACC
This 237-nucleotide unclassified non-coding RNA is filed under the name Hevea brasiliensis (rubber tree). The record is from RNAcentral. Lineage: Eukaryota; Viridiplantae; Streptophyta; Magnoliopsida; Malpighiales; Euphorbiaceae.